RNAcentral lists this transfer RNA (84 nucleotides) under Chloroflexota bacterium. RNAcentral's name for it is "tRNA-Leu". It matches the Rfam family "tRNA". From Rfam's summary of the family: Transfer RNA (tRNA) molecules are approximately 80 nucleotides in length. The record is from RNAcentral. RNAcentral also lists the same sequence under 2 other names. Lineage: Bacteria; Bacillati; Chloroflexota.
GCCGAAGUGGCGGAAUUGGCAGACGCGCUACGUUCAGGGCGUAGUGACCACUAGGUCGUGUGGGUUCGAGUCCCACCUCCGGCA